GACGGAAGGUGCAAGCGUUGCUCGGAAUCACUGGGCGUAAAGGGUGCGUAGGCGGCCGUGCAAGUCUGGCGUGAAAGCCCCGGGCUCAGCCCGGGAAGUGCGCUCGAAACUGCGCGGCUCGAGUGCCGGAGGGGAGAGUGGAAUUCCUGGUGUAGCGGUGGAAUGCGCAGAUAUCAGGAGGAACACCGAUGGCGAAGGCAGCUCGCUGGGACGGUACUGACGCUGAGGCGCGAAAGCGUGGGGAGCGAACAGG
Molecule: ribosomal RNA, 253 nt
Filed under: uncultured bacterium
Lineage: Bacteria
Description: partial 16S ribosomal RNA
Rfam family: Bacterial small subunit ribosomal RNA
Source: RNAcentral